This 433-nucleotide ribosomal RNA is filed under the name uncultured bacterium. Its description in RNAcentral is "partial 16S ribosomal RNA". It matches the Rfam family "Bacterial small subunit ribosomal RNA", at positions 29 to 507 of the family's 1533-position model. The record is from RNAcentral.
AACGAACGCUGGCGGCAUGCCUAACACAUGUAAGUCGAACGAGACCUUCGGGUCUAGUGGCGCACGGGUGCGUAACGCGUGGGAACCUGCCCUUAGGGUCGGAAUAACUCCCCGAAAGGGGUGCUAAUACCGGAUAAUGGCUUCGGACCAAAGAUUUAUCGCCUUUGGAUGGGCCCGCGUUGGAUUAGCUAGUUGGUAGGGUAAAAGCCUACCAAGGCGACGAUCCAUAGCUGGUCUGAGAGGAUGAUCAGCCACACUGGGACUGAGACACGGCCCAGACUCCUACGGGAGGCAGCAGUGGGGAAUAUUGGAACAUGGGCGAAAGCCUGAUCCAGCAAUGCCGCGUGAGUGAUGAAGGCCUUAGGGUUGUAAAGCUCUUUUAACCGGGAUGAUAAUGACAGUACCGGGAGAAUAAGCUCCGGCUAACUCCGUG